This 340-nucleotide ribosomal RNA is filed under the name uncultured bacterium. RNAcentral describes it as "bacterial SSU rRNA". It matches the Rfam family "Bacterial small subunit ribosomal RNA", at positions 9 to 351 of the family's 1533-position model. The record is from RNAcentral.
GAGUUUGAUCAUGGCUCAGAUUGAACGCUGGCGGCAGGCCUAACACAUGCAAGUCGAGCGGAUGACAGGAGCUUGCUCCUGAAUUCAGCGGCGGACGGGUGAGUAAUGCCUAGGAAUCUGCCUGGUAGUGGGGGACAACGUUUCGAAAGGAACGCUAAUACCGCAUACGUCCUACGGGAGAAAGCAGGGGACCUUCGGGCCUUGCGCUAUCAGAUGAGCCUAGGUCGGAUUAGCUAGUUGGUGAGGUAAUGGCUCACCAAGGCGACGAUCCGUAACUGGUCUGAGAGGAUGAUCAGUCACACUGGAACUGAGACACGGUCCAGACUCCUACGGGAGGCAG